UUCCUAAGCUAUAGUAAGUAAAUUUAUGAUGUUAACACUUUUGCAAAAACGAAUGUGUUGUUGUUCACCAAAUACAAUUUUUUGGGAGGGGGCGGAGCAUCAUCUACAUUUUUGUUAUGUACAGCUUCCUCAAGUCAGCACCAAAUAGCCCAAGCAGUUUAAAUGUACCCCUUACCAUGAUGCUCUUUUUUGUGCCUGACUGAUGACUCUAAGAGCCUUUUGAAGUAGCAAAUGUCUCGUGUGCCUUCCCCACCACAAGCUUCCUCCCUGUCAUGGGUUACACGCGACAUUCUUCAGCUUGAAGCCAAUCUGACACGUAUUGAUAAAAUACCAUGAAGAUCACAUAACAAUCUGAUAUUCCAUGUAACGGAGUCAACUGAAGUCCAUAGAGAGGCAGAAGGAGGAGAGGAACCACAAAAAUAAUUUUCAGCUCCCAUUGUCUUUUCAGUAGACUACCCCAAAGCAGUGUUUCUCCAUUUGUUCUGCCCUGAGCCAAGCAGAAUCUGUAAGGGAUCCAACUGCAUGGAGCUCCCAGCAGUGAGGUUUACCUCUGAGCUGCUAUAGUGGUCCCACCUGCAUUGCUUCUGAUCCUUCACUGUCAACCAUCCUGCUUUCCAUCCUUCCCUGAUUUACACACCAGGGAAACAAUGUGGAUAUAUCGUCUGUCCCCAAAAUGAUGUUUUUUUUUUUUUUUCAGGUACUCCAGGCUUAAAGCAAACAUCACAACGUGAUCAUCAAUUCUCCAUCAAGGUAACAUUAUCUAUCUCAGCCUCCUGCAUGGGAUACUGUGCUGAGACGGUACACUGAGCCAUGGGUAACAAUGUGGGAUGGUAGAAGGUGAGAAAAAAAUGAAGUAUGGUCGCUAUAAUCAUCAAUCCUAAAGGACUAUGUAAGAGCAUUAUUAUACAACUAACCUGCUUUCAGGAUUCUUCUACUGUAUGCAUCCCUUGAUUGACAGUGACAGCUCAGUCUUCGUGGAAUUACCAGCUAUCUCUUUUGUUAUUUUUAUGGCCGUAUACAGCAUUAAAUCUCCCUACUACAUUUCCCUAAGAGCCUUGGUUUUGCAUUUUUAAAGCAUGAGCUUUCAAUUGCCUUUACACUAUCCACAGAAAUUCUCUUUUAUGUGUCACACCCUUGUACUUCUGCCUCCCUCUCCCUUUAAAGGAAAUACAUGAGGACACAUAUUUCCCAGAUAGCUCAGGUUCAUUGUUGUUGAAGAUUAGCUGGUAAUGUACGUAAACUGCUCAGUUUCAACCUUUGCCCUCUCUUCCAAGUACAAUCUGUUGCGGACGGGCUCCCCAGUCACCAGGGCGCACACUGUGUGUAGGCAUAGAUCCAUUACACAGACAGUGAAACGAAGGAAGAAUCUGACAUUUGCUGAGCAGGUGCUGCGUCCCAUGAGCACUGCAAGGCAUUCAUUCCCUCUUUCUUGUAUCUUUCUAGAACCCUACGCAAAGACAGUAUUUAAACUCAUCUCUGCCCAGAUACACAGCCCUAGCUCUUUACCCGGUACUUUGCAGCCAUGGAUAUCUUCCACACUUAGGGUUGUAAUUCCAGUAUUUUACUUUUGUUUGUGUUCAACUUUUAUUCCUUAUCAAAUAAGUUCCUUCCUCCUCAUCUUCUCUAUCCCACAUCCCACCCUGCCAUCCUUGAAGAGGUACGAUGCCUUCUGUUUUACUGUCGUGUGCCUUGGUGACUACUAAUUCUGAACAAUAAUAUCUUUCUUUGAAUUUUAAUAAAAGUAUUGUUAUGCUUUGAACUUGAUGUGGCCCUUAGAGACUUAAGUUUUAAAGAUUGGCAGACAGCUGAUGGGUUUUGGGGAAGUGGCUGAUUGGGUCAUAAGGAACCUAACCUAAGUAGUGUUUGAACCAAUUGCUGAAAUCAUAGUUGAUUAUUGCAAAGGGUGGGAGAUGAGGGCUGGUUCUGAUUGUGCUGCUGAGGGGGCUUUGAAGUGUGUGCCUGCCCCUGAACUCUUCCUCUGCCUAUUUCCUCUGUUCAUCCCAACCAUAUGAGGCAAGCAGACAUUCCUCCUACUCAGAUAUUCUAGCCUCACCCAGCAAUGGAGGCAGCCUAACAGACUAAAACAGUGGAUCUCAAUCUGCGGCUCCUGACUUCUUUUGGGUGGUUGCCUAUCAGAUAUCCUGCUUAUCAGAUAGUUACAUCAUGAUUCAUAGUAGUAGCAAAUUACAGUCAGUUAUAAAGUAGCAAGGAAAAUAAUGUUGUGGUUUGGGGGGUGGGAGGGUCAGCACAAUAUGAGGAACUGUAAUAAAGCGUUGUAGCAUCAGAAAUGUGGACUAAAGCAUAUGAAACCAUGAGCCAAACAAAAUAAAGCUUUCUUUUCUUUUUAUUUUCCUUUUUUUCUUUCAGGUGCUGUUCUUGUGUGCUCUGUCUCUGCGGCAUAAAGUCUGACCAAUGCAGGACCCAUAAUGCUUC
This 2433-nucleotide long non-coding RNA is filed under the name Mus caroli (Ryukyu mouse). Its description in RNAcentral is "RIKEN cDNA B530045E10 gene (MGP_CAROLIEiJ_G0004670.1)". The record is from RNAcentral. Lineage: Eukaryota; Metazoa; Chordata; Mammalia; Rodentia; Muridae.